Molecule: unclassified non-coding RNA, 363 nt
Filed under: uncultured Helotiales
Lineage: Eukaryota; Fungi; Ascomycota; Leotiomycetes; Helotiales
Description: sequence contains ITS2
Rfam family: 5.8S ribosomal RNA (bases 1-154)
Source: RNAcentral
AACUUUUGACAAUGGAUCUCUUGGUUCUGGGAUCGAUGAAGAACGCAGCGAAAUGCGAUAAGUAAUGUGAAUUGCAGAAUUCAGUGAAUCAAUGAAUCUUUGAACGCAAAUUGCGCCCCUUGGCAUUCCGAGGGGCAUGCCUGUUCGAGCGUCAUUUAAACCAAUCCAGCGUGCUGGGUCUUGGGCUUUCGCCUCUGGGCGGGCCUCAAAGUCGGUGGCGGUGCUGCCAGGCUCUAAGCGUAGUAAUUCUUCUCGCUACAGGGUCCUGGUGGAGGCUUGCCAACAACCCCAAAUAUUUCAAAGGUUGACCUCGGAUCAGGUAGGGAUACCCGCUGAACUUAAGCAUAUCAAUAAGCGGAGGCU